This 46-nucleotide small RNA is filed under the name Phycisphaerae bacterium RAS1. Its description in RNAcentral is "Acido-Lenti-1 RNA". It matches the Rfam family "Acido-Lenti-1 RNA". Lineage: Bacteria; Pseudomonadati; Planctomycetota; Phycisphaerae. The record is from Rfam by way of RNAcentral.
CCCACGGCUGACGCCGUGGGCUUUGUUCUUUCGCCGCUCCGCGGCU